Molecule: long non-coding RNA, 439 nt
Filed under: Bos taurus (domestic cattle)
Lineage: Eukaryota; Metazoa; Chordata; Mammalia; Artiodactyla; Bovidae
Description: long non-coding RNA NONBTAT025651
Source: RNAcentral
UUCACUAGCAGGAUUCUUUCAGUGAGAGCCCCAAAGAGCCAAUCUAGGUAAUUGAGAAGAAACAUUCAAUUCAAAGUAGUAGUUAAAAUUACUACCUUGCUCAUCACAGUUUCCUAGUUAAUGUUAGCAAAAGACACUUAACAUGUCCUAAGUCUGGUUAUAUACCGAUGUUUGCAUAUGAAUCCAACAGGCUAUUAGACUGAUUAUAAAACAAUGAAUUUGUUCACCUGAAAGAAAUGCAUUUAUGUAGUGACACAGAAAUCAUGUGGCUGACGCAAAGCGAGAAUGCUAUUCUCUGCUUCUCUCCCCUCGCCUCCCUCACUCUCCAAAUCCUCAUAUACAUCCAAUGACUUAUCAGUCUCCACUUGCAUUUACUGCAUAAUAUGAAAUUCACUGUUCAACUGGAGACACUCAUUUCUGGGUUUUAUUGUAUUUGAUU